RNAcentral lists this ribosomal RNA (834 nucleotides) under uncultured archaeon. RNAcentral describes it as "bacterial SSU rRNA". It matches the Rfam family "Archaeal small subunit ribosomal RNA", at positions 1 to 838 of the family's 1478-position model. The record is from RNAcentral.
UUCCGGUUGAUCCUGCCGGAGGUCAUUGCUAUUGGAGUCCGAUUUAGCCAUGCUAGUUGCACGAGUUCAGACUCGUAGCAGAUAGCUCAGUAACACGUGGCCAAACUACCCUCUGGACGUGGACAACCUCGGGAAACUGAGGCUAAUCCGCGAUAGGGGUCUUAUCCUGGAGUGGAGAGACCCUGAAACGCUCCGGCGCCAGAGGAUGUGGCUGCGGCCGAUUAGGUAGACGGUGGGGUAACGGCCCACCGUGCCAGUAAUCGGUACGGGUUGUGAGAGCAAGAGCCCGGAGACGGUAUCUGAGACAAGAUACCGGGCCCUACGGGGCGCAGCAGGCGCGAAACCUUUACACUGCACGCCAGUGCGAUAAGGGGACUCCAAGUGCGAGGGCAUAGAGCCCUCGCUUUUCUGUACCGUAAGGUGGUACAAGAAUAAGUGCUGGGCAAGACCGGUGCCAGCCGCCGCGGUAAUACCGGCAGCACGAGUGAUGGCCGCUCUUAUUGGGCCUAAAGCGUCCGUAGCUGGCCGCGCAAGUCCAUCGGGAAAUCCGCACGCCUAACGUGCGGGCGUCCGGUGGAAACUGCGUGGCUUGGGACCGGAAGAUCCAGAGGGUACGUCUGGGGUAGGAGUGAAAUCCUGUAAUCCUGGACGGACCACCGGUGGCGAAAGCGCUCUGGAAGGACGGAUCCGACGGUGAGGGACGAAAGCUCGGGUCACGAACCGGAUUAGAUACCCGAGUAGUCCGAGCUGUAAACGAUGUCUGCUAGGUGUGCCACAGGCUACGAGCCUGUGGUGUGCCGUAGGGAAGCCGUGAAGCAGACCGCCAGGAAGUAC